Molecule: ribosomal RNA, 492 nt
Filed under: uncultured bacterium
Lineage: Bacteria
Description: partial 16S ribosomal RNA
Rfam family: Bacterial small subunit ribosomal RNA
Source: RNAcentral
ACGCACGCUGGCGGCGCGUCUUAACCAUGCCAGUCGCACGGCAGGAAGGGGCUUGCCCCUUCUGAGAGUGGCGGACUGGUGAGUAACACGUGGGUGACAUACCUUUUAGUUGGGGAUAGCUAUUAGAAAUAGUAGGUAAUACCGAAUGUGACCGUACCUGUUAGAGGGGUACGAGGAAAGGAGCUAAGGCUUCGCUAAAAGAAUGGCUCGCGGCCCAUUAUGCUCGUUGGUGAGGUAACGGCCCACCAAGGCGAUGAUGGGUAUCCGGCCUGAGAGGGUGAACGGACACAUUGGGACUGAGAUACGGCCCAGACUUCUACGGGAGGCAGCAGUUAAGAAUAUUCCGCAAUGGACGAAAGUCUGACGGAGCGACGCCGCGUGGAUGAAGAAGGCCGAAAGGUUGUAAAAUCCUUUUAAGCCUGAUGAAUAAGCACAGUAGGGAAUGAUUGUGCGGUGACCGUAGGGCUUGAAUAAGCACCGGCUAAUUACGUG